AGCAGCCGCGGUAAUUCCAGCUCCAAUAGCGUAUAUUAAAGUUGUUGCAGUUAAAAAGCUCGUAGUUGAAUUUCGGGGUCAGUAGGUCGGUCGUGCCACUGGUAUGAACUGGUUUCACUGAUUCCUCCCUCUUGUAGAACCGUGAUGCCAUUAAUUUGAUGUCAUAGGAAAUCAGGACUGUUACUUUGAAAAAAUUAGAGUGUUUAAAGCAGGCUCGCGCUUGAAUACAUUAGCAUGGAAUAAUGAAAUAGGACGUUUGAUUCUAUUUUGUUGGUUUCUAGGAUCGACGUAAUGAUUAAUAGGGAUAGUUGGGGGCAUUAGUAUUCAAUUGUCAGAGGUGAAAUUCUUGGAUUUAUUGAAGACUAACUACUGCGAAAGCAUUUGCCAAGGAUGUUUUCAUUAAUCAAGAACGAAAGUUAGGGGAUCGAAGAUGAUCAGAUACCGUCGUAGUCUUAACCAUAAACUAUGCCGACUAGGGAUCGGAUGAUGUUAAUUUUUUAAUGACUCAUUC
Molecule: ribosomal RNA, 511 nt
Filed under: uncultured Glomus
Lineage: Eukaryota; Fungi; Glomeromycota; Glomeromycetes; Glomerales; Glomeraceae
Description: SSU rRNA
Rfam family: Eukaryotic small subunit ribosomal RNA
Source: RNAcentral